Molecule: long non-coding RNA, 988 nt
Organism: Pan paniscus (pygmy chimpanzee)
Lineage: Eukaryota; Metazoa; Chordata; Mammalia; Primates; Hominidae
Source: Ensembl
UGAUUAUAUCAUGAAUACUUUUUAAACAGGAUUUUUAAAAAAUUAUUUUCGAAAUGAGGCCUGCAGACAUCCACAACAGGCCCCUCAGAUCUCCUAGUUCACAGGCAUCCCCUCCAUCCCUCCCUACGUGCUCUUUUCUCUUUGCAGGUAACCUGUGGGGGAGGCAGCCCGUGUCCUGGGAGCUUCCAGCUGGGACCCUGAUGACAUAUCCCUGUGCAGUCCCAGUCCUUGGUGAUGCCUUCUCUCUGUACGGAGUGAGGACGCCUCAGAGGCACCCCGCGCCUGGGCUCAUCCCUGCCACAAGUCCUCUGGGGCUCCCCCAGCAGCCUCCUGCCAGACAGCCCCCUCCGGCUCCGGCCUGUGAUCAAAUCCUGGCUCCGUCCUCAGCAGCGUUGCUCCUGGUAAUUUCUUUGCCUCUCUUUGCUACGGUUUCCUAACUUGGACAAUCUGGCUGGUGGGUUUCCUCUGUGAGGUCUGGUGAGGAGGCUGUGGGUGAGGAAUGAGCAGAGGUUCCCCUUCCAGAACCCAAGCCGCUUUCCAUGCCGGGCGCUUUAUGCUGUCGGCUCAUUGGAUUGUGCCCUCAACUCCACAAUGAAGGGGUUGUCCCCAUUUUUAGAUGGGACAGUUUCCCCCUGAGGUUUUGGAGGUGAGGGCCAGGCUGGCUCGGGAGCCCGGCAGUCGGAGGCUCCCGCUUCUGUUGUGCCGCUGAAGUUCUUGGCAGCGGUGCCUGCCCAGAGCCCAUUAGGCCGAGCCCUGGGAGGUCCCGGGAGGAAGUGGUGCUCAGGCCAGCUCGAGGGAGGGUGGGAGCUUGGCAGAAGAAAGGCUUAAGAAGCUCCAGGUAACCCUCGUGCGGGGAGAGCUGCAACAGGCCUUACUGGCUGUGCCUGUCUCCGGCCCCAGUGUCCAGAGCAGAGCAGCCUGCCUUCGGCUGCUUCCAGGCAUCCUGCUCCUGGGAGGCCCUGUCAGCUCCAAGAGGCUCUUAGAGCAG